UACAGAGGGUGCAAGCGUUGCUCGGAAUUAUUGGGCGUAAAGCGUGAGUAGGUGGUCUCGUUUGUCUUGGGUGAAAGCCUGGAGCUCAACUCCAGAAGUGCCUAAGAAACGGCGAGACUAGAGUUUCGGAGAGGGUUGUGGAAUUCCCGGUGUAGCGGUGAAAUGCGUAGAGAUCGGGAAGAACACCAGAGGCGAAGGCGACAACCUGGAAGAACACUGACACUCAACCACGAAAGCGCGGGGAGCAAACAGG
Molecule: ribosomal RNA, 253 nt
Filed under: uncultured bacterium
Lineage: Bacteria
Description: partial 16S ribosomal RNA
Rfam family: Bacterial small subunit ribosomal RNA
Source: RNAcentral